UCAGUUAGUGGUGGGGUAAUGGCUUACCAAGACUAUGACGCAUAACUGGUUUGAGAGGAUGAUCAGUCACACUGGAACUGAGACACGGUCCAGACUCCUACGGGAGGCAGCAGUGGGGAAUAUUGCACAAUGGACGGAAGUCUGAUGCAGCAACGCCGCGUGGAGGAUGACACAUUUCGGUGCGUAAACUCCUUUUAUAUAAGAAGAUGAUGACGGUAUUAUAUGAAUAAGCACCGGCUAACUCCGUGCCAGCAGCCGCGGUAAUACGGGGGGUGCAAGCGUUACUCGGAAUCACUGGGCGUAAAGAGCGUGUAGGCGGAUUGAUAAGUUUGAAGUGAAAUCCUAUAGCUUAACUAUAGAACUGCUUUGAAAACUGUUAGUCUAGAAUGUGGGAGAGGUAGAUGGAAUUUCUGGUGUAGGGGUAAAAUCCGUAGAGAUCAGAAGGAAUACCGAUUGCGAAGGCGAUCUACUAGAACAUAAUUGACGCUGAGAUGCGAAAGCGUGGGGAGCAAACAGGAUUAGAUACCCUGGUAGUCCACGCCCUAAACGAUGUACACUAGUUGUUGUGAGACUAGAUCUUGCAGUAAUGCAGUUAACACAUUAAGUGUACCGCCUGGGGAGUACGGUCGCAAGAUUAAAACUCAAAGGAAUAGACGGGGACCCGCACAAGCGGUGGAGCAUGUGGUUUAAUUCGACGAUACACGAAGAACCUUACCUGGACUUGACAUAGUAAGAAUGAUUUAGAGAUAGAUUAGUGUCUGCUUGCAGAAACUUGCAUACAGGUGCUGCACGGCUGUCGUCAGCUCGUGUCGUGAGAUGUUGGGUUAAGUCCCGCAACGAGCGCAACCCUCGUCCUUAGUUGCUAACAGUUAGGCUGAGAACUCUAAGGAGACUGCCUGCGUAAGUAGGAGGAAGGUGAGGAUGACGUCAAGUCAUCAUGGCCCUUACGUCCAGGGCUACACACGUGCUACAAUGGGGUAUACAAAGAGCAGCGAUACGGUGACGUGGAGCAAAUCUUAUAAAAUACCUCCCAGUUCGGAUUGUAGUCUGCAACUCGACUACAUGAAGUUGGAAUCGCUAGUAAUCGUAGAUCAGCUAUGCUACGGUGAAUACGUUCCCGGGUCUUGUACUCACCGCCCGUCACACCAUGGGAGUUGAACUCAUUCGAAGCGGGGAUGCUAAAUAGCUAC
RNAcentral lists this ribosomal RNA (1190 nucleotides) under Aliarcobacter lanthieri. RNAcentral's name for it is "bacterial SSU rRNA". It matches the Rfam family "Bacterial small subunit ribosomal RNA", at positions 241 to 1446 of the family's 1533-position model. Lineage: Bacteria; Pseudomonadati; Campylobacterota; Epsilonproteobacteria; Campylobacterales; Arcobacteraceae. The record is from RNAcentral.